UUCUCUCUCUCCUCUUUUCCCACAUUUUCGCCCCCUCUCCCUCUCUCUCUCCCUCACACUAUUUUCUCUUACUACCACCAUUGAAGCCUAAUCUCAAGCUCCAAAAAUCACUCCUAUACUUAGAAGUUUACCUAAAUCAAAUCAUAAACCAUCUCUUCUAUGAAUCAAGACAAGGAUUGAAAAGGUUUUAGAGAUUGGAGCCAAGGGAGAUUUUACUUUUCUUUUAAGUCUUUGAAUACCAGUCGAGGACGCAAGUGAGAUCACCCCGAGUACUACCUGAAGUAAGCUAAGCUUGUCAGGAUAAGCAAGGAUGGAGGAUGGCCUGGUGUUGGCGGGGUUGUUGUUUCGGAUGUUUACUAUCUACCAUAUUUUCAUUUCAUAUGGUAGCAUUUUGAUUUUGGAGUUUGUUUUAGACUUAAUCAAGUGAUAUACUCUCAGUUAUAUGUCUUCAUACAUAUAAUCUGAUCACCUUUUGCUGUGAUACUCUGCAUAAUAUGAAUCUUUGUAAAUAUUAAGCUAUGCCUGCUUUGUAAAUGUUGACGAGAAUCCCGAUACUUUGACUUUUAUAAAGUUGUUGAUGCUUAUAUCUUGAA
Molecule: long non-coding RNA, 593 nt
Organism: Salvia miltiorrhiza (redroot sage)
Lineage: Eukaryota; Viridiplantae; Streptophyta; Magnoliopsida; Lamiales; Lamiaceae
Exons: 3
Source: RefSeq, a predicted model, not a curated record